UACGUAGGGGGCAAGCGUUGUCCGGAUUUAUUGGGCGUAAAGAGCGUGUAGGCGGCCAAGCAGGUCCGCUGUGAAAACUCGAGGCUCAACCUCGAGACGUCGGUGGAAACCGUUUGGCUAGAGUCCGGAAGAGGAGAGUGGAAUUCCCGGUGUAGCGGUGAAAUGCGCAGAUAUCGGGAAGAACACCCGUGGCGAAGGCGGCUUACUGGUCCGGUUCUGACGCUGAGGCGCGAAGGCCAGGGGAGCAAACGGG
This 253-nucleotide ribosomal RNA is filed under the name uncultured bacterium. RNAcentral describes it as "partial 16S ribosomal RNA". It matches the Rfam family "Bacterial small subunit ribosomal RNA", at positions 524 to 776 of the family's 1533-position model. The record is from RNAcentral.